AUUGAACGCUGGCGGCAGGCCUAACACAUGCAAGUCGAAUGGUAACAGGAAACAGCUUGCUGUUUCUCUGACGAGUGGCGGACGGGUGAGUAAUGUCUGGGCAACUGCCUGAUGGAGGGGGAUAACUACUGGAAACGGUAGCUAAUACCGCAUAACGUCGCAAGCCCAAAGAGGGGGAGCUUCGGGCCUCUUGCCAUCAGAUGUGCCCAGGUGGGAUUCGCUAGGAGGUGGGGUAACGGCUCACCUAGGCGACCAUCUCUAGCUGGUCUGAGAGGAUGAGCAGCCACACGGGAACUGAGACACGGUCCAGACUACUGAGGGAGGCAGCAGUGGGGAAUAUUGGACAGUGGGCGCAAGCAUGACGCAGCCAUGCCGCGUGUAUGAAGAAGGCCUUCGGGUUGUAAAGUACGUUCAGCGGGGAGGAAGGGAGUAAAGUUAAUACCUUUGCUCAUUGACGUUACCCGCAGAAGAAGCACCGGCUAACUCCGUG
Molecule: ribosomal RNA, 490 nt
Filed under: uncultured bacterium
Lineage: Bacteria
Description: partial 16S ribosomal RNA
Rfam family: Bacterial small subunit ribosomal RNA
Source: RNAcentral